AUAAGAAGAUCAUGCCUGACUAUAAGUGUGUUAGUAUUGAGGCCCAGAGUUAUGUUGCAUGGAUCUGCAAAAGAAUAAUCUGCAGAGUAAAGGGGCUGAUAUGGAUAGAGUUUGGGUGCUAUGUAUUGUCAUGGAAAACUAGUGGCUAAUAACUACCAGGGAGUCUAUACGCCAUAAUAAUUAAACUGGCUUAUUAAUUAAUAUAGUGUUUGGCAAUAGUCCAUCAUUAAUAUAACAGGUGGGCAGUGAUGUCACCGCCUGUAUACUUAUGUCACCGCCUGUAUAGCCAUAGUCAGAGAGCAACUAGUGCUUUGUGUAAGAUUGUGUCCCAAAAAACGUAACUCUCCGAUUGCAAGAGGUGUGCAGUGUAAAUUGUCCCACCUCCUGGCUAGAAAGAUUUGUUGUAUUGAGGUGUUCCAAUUUGCUGCUGUUUGUGCCACCAUAUUUGAGUACGGAUUCCUGGGUGCUUCCCUCUGG
Pelobates cultripes (western spadefoot toad) is the source of this 477-nucleotide non-coding RNA. NCBI's taxonomy places the organism in Eukaryota, Metazoa, Chordata, Amphibia, Anura, Pelobatidae. The record is from the annotation of a GenBank genome assembly.